GUAAUACUGUAUUCCUUUAGCUCUGCCACCUGCAAUUCAUUAGUCUGAUGUUACUUGCCGUGUCCAUUGCCUGCACCUCUCACCAGUGGAUGUUGCAAUGUGCCUAUCAUCUGUUCUAAGCUCACAGGAAUGCCGAACCUUGUAUUUCUUGGGAGGUCCUAAUGAGGGCCACGGGCUCUGGGGUAUUCCUGAAGAGAUACCAGGGGUUCUCACCAAAGAGAUGUCACACUAUUUUCGGAGGCUGAGGUUCCAGACCACGAGUAUCUGGCUCAUCAAAGAAGAAAAGACACAGCAGGAGACAGAUUUCCAACGCGGUUCAGUGAAGCUUCUGGCCAUGCCCGGGCACUGGGGCUUUAGGCUCAGCUCAAAUUCCAGACUCUGUCUCACUUCUCAAGUCAGUGUCCCUGCUGCUAAAGCCUGCAGCCUCCUUUUUCAUUUACCUCAUCUGUAGAAGUCUUGUCUGAGCCUGAGUGGGCAUUUUUAAAAACAGUUUUAAUAUUAAAAUGUCAGUGUUUCCUCAGACUGUGACCAGCUUGAACAUGACACCCUGAUCACUCAGCACCUGAUGUCGUUUGCAAAUGGCACGUCCCAGGCAGCUGCCUUUCAGGACAGGCACUCGGUUCUGUGAGCACUUCACAUCGGAAAAGCCAACCACACUUCGUCCCUCCGUGGGCUGCCGGAGAACCCAAACCAAAAGUACCAAGACCGGAGGGAAAGAGCUCACCACCGAAGCGCAGCAGGCUCUGGAGAGGCUCAGAAAUGCUCACAGGACCUGCCUGGCUGGAAGCAAUCAUUCUGGAAAGCAAUGGAGGAGUCGGGGCAGAAACGCUGAGCGGGGGUGGCAGGAAUCGGAACACUGGCGAGCAGAGCAGUGACUUCGGCAACUGUGAGACCCAGGACGUCAGCAGAACAGCGUCAUGCACAGGUGGGUCCACAAUGGGGCAAGUGAGGACAGCCUCUCUCCGCUCCCUAGGCUGAGCCCAGAAACCUCACCACCAUCUACCCUGCUGCCUGAGAACAGGUCGGACCUCUGGGAUUUGUUGUGAGCAAAGCCUGGACAGGAUGCGGCCUGUGAAGGCUCCCGUGAGACUUCCAUCUGGUGCCCAGGACCUCAGAGGGCUCUCCGCUGUGGACAGGUCAUUAAAGACAACGUUGUUCCUAUCUACUGGAGAAGGUCACUAAGGACAAGGACGUACGCAAUACAAGAAUAAAUAAGAGUCUUAACCCGCCGAAGGUAGAGAGGGGAAGAAGCGCAGGAGGACGCAGUCCUUUGCCCAUUCUUAACACCUUGCCUGAGCCUUAGCUGGCGCCAGGCAGGACGCCGGGGGCAGGCAGCAACAGAGCCGGAACUGCAUGUCUCCAUUUGCUGGGCAGUACAGGGACCACCCACGCUAGAAUACAGGACUGGGCUCCUGACUCACCCUAAAUCUAUUAGAGAAAAGUAAGGAAAGUCAGCGCCCCCAAACCCAGGAGGAAGAAGGUGUGACUGCUCACAGAACCCAGUGCUCUGACCUCCACUGCAGAAAGGCUGCAGAGACACAGCCUGCUUCGCCCUCUGAGUCAGGUCAGCAACGUAUGAACCAAACAGAGACAUUUCCUGAAGGUACCCAGCCUCUCCAGACGGCGACGCCUCCACUACACCUGAGAGGGACGAUGACGAACCUUCAGCGUUCUGUGAUCACUGGAAUCGGCGCCCGUCAAUGGCAGGUGGCAACUCUGGCUUUCUUGAUUUCACCUCCGGAGCUCCUGAGGUCGCCCUAGUUCACACGUUCUUCACUGCUUGGGCCUCCAGAUCGCAAGCUCUCACUGAAGCCAGCCCCAGGCCUCACAGGCCACUGUCAUGGGCAGACAGUGAGUACGUGAAAUUCAUCUCAGCGAGUCCAGGCCACACCGUGACUUUCACUUUUUCUUCCCAUCGGUGCACGGUUCUAUUUUAACACUUGAUCUUCUGUCCAAUCAAAUAGUGGCCUCUUAUGCUGACCUGAGAGGUCUUGUAAGACCCUCAAGAAUUCUUUAUCUCAUAGGAUGCUAAAACAGUACCUGGCCAGGGUAGGUACUGCAUGAGCAUUUAUUUUUUAAAAAGCAAUUAAAACACUGGAAAGGUACUCCACUUCUUUCUUCUUCCUCAAGCUUAAAAAUUAACUAUAAAAGCUGGACAAAUCUAUAAAGAUCACCAGAUUCCCCUGGGAAAGUUUCUGUAUCUACAUUAACAUAAAAUUCAGACAAUGUUUAUCUAUCAGGCUUUUUAAAUAUUAGCAACCCUGUUAGCACUCAUACCUUCUUCCUCUUUGGAAAUGAAUGUGUUACCUUACAUAAUCAGUCUAUUGAUGGGAGACGUGUGGCUGUAAAUUCACUUAUGGGGUAUGUUAUCGAUU
Long non-coding RNA from Chinchilla lanigera (long-tailed chinchilla), 2375 nucleotides. RefSeq lists it as uncharacterized. NCBI's taxonomy places the organism in Eukaryota, Metazoa, Chordata, Mammalia, Rodentia, Chinchillidae. The transcript has 3 exons. The record is from RefSeq and is a predicted model, not a curated record.